RNAcentral lists this long non-coding RNA (1430 nucleotides) under Ananas comosus (pineapple). Its description in RNAcentral is "long non-coding RNA (ACOM_LNC017760)". The record is from RNAcentral. Lineage: Eukaryota; Viridiplantae; Streptophyta; Magnoliopsida; Poales; Bromeliaceae.
GGGUGUCCUAAACGCGUGGGACAACUUCGUUUAACAUUGCGAAAAUGAUAGAGUAUAGUUCAUGUACAAAAAGGCCUAAUAUGGCACUAUUUUGAUUAUAGGGCGCGGAAUCGGCUUUCGUAAAGUGCGGGGGCCUUAAUAUUCUACACCCACACGACCAAUAGAGGUGGGGGGUGCACGCCGGAAUCGUUGGAUUCCCUUCUAUGUCUGUUAUCUCUAUUCUUGAGCAUACAUGUUUAUUUAUAUACCCAUUCAUGCAUAGUAGGGUAGAUACAUGUGGAACUUGGUUUGACUUCAUUUAAAUGCUUCUAACGUAGUUGAACAUAGCGGAUGAUAGAACCAAAUUGGACAUGUGUGAUCGGACCCUCAAGUUGUGUGAAUGUGAGGUUGGACUUGGACAAUAGAAAACAAUGGUGACAUUGACAUAGAAACAAGAUUGGCAUUGAGAGAUGAACCGUUAAACCUAGUUUAACCAAUUAUGACAUCGUCAAAGGUAAAGCCUUGAGAGUGGCAAGAAUGAAUAGGUAGAGACCUAGCAUGACAUUGGCAUUGUGACUAGUGGCUAUGAAUCCUCAAGUUGAGGAUUUGAUCGAUACUCACAUUUCGUCUUGGCUUGAGGGAGGUCGCUCCCCCUCGAGCGGUGCGCUCCGGAGUUGGUCACCACUGGGCGUGGUAAAGUCCCACCAGUUGACGGUCCCUAGGGAGGUUCGAGUCCCCCGCUAUUAAGGGAUUUUGAAUGGUGAGUUAUUGGGGUUAACAAGGUUAACCGGUAAGAUUGGGUAAGAGCCGAUGCUUCUUUGAGAUUUGAGCAUGCAUGCAUUUUCUAUUAUUGCAUCGAGUAUAUAUAUCCACUGACAUUCUUUUGCAGGCAUGGUAUUAGAUGCAUUAGCAUUGGUUACUUCUCUUUUCCUUUGUAAUACUUAUGCCUGGAUGGACCUAGUGGGUAAGUCGGCGAGGUCGGUUGCCGAGCCCACUGGGAACUUUGUUUAGUUCUCACACCACUAACCCUACAGGUCCUAGCACGAGCGGGGCGGCGGAGGACCGAGGCAAGGGUUUGGCGCCGUAGGUAGCGGCCACCGGGACUUUAUACAUUUUGUAGUCAUUCCCUUUUGUUAUACAUGUAUCAACUUUAUUUUGUUGAUUUAGGAAUGAAAAGUGUAAACAAUCAUGUAUUUGGUGGAUGACUAAAUGUAAAAAGAUAUGAUGCAAGAAUGUAAUAGAUUUACUUGAAUUUGGUUUAAAUACUAAUCAAAUAUCAUGUAUGUUGCUUAAUUAGCUUAGAGCUUUCGCUUUCAUUGUUGCUUGCCCUCGUGCAAGCCUUGUAUUAUAUAUGCAAAUCUCUUGUUGAUUGCCUAUUUAUACAUGUUGUUAGAGCCUUGGGCGGACAGGGGAGGCUCUGUCCGUUCGGCGUCUGUUGACGUGACCCGAAC